GUGAGCGUAGUUCAAUUGGUAGAGCGCAAGACUGUGGAUCUUGUUGUUGUGGGUUCGAGUCCCAUCGCUCACCCA
RNAcentral lists this transfer RNA (75 nucleotides) under Spirochaetota bacterium. RNAcentral's name for it is "Spirochaetes bacterium tRNA-His". It matches the Rfam family "tRNA". From Rfam's summary of the family: Transfer RNA (tRNA) molecules are approximately 80 nucleotides in length. Their secondary structure includes four short double-helical elements and three loops (D, anti-codon, and T loops). The record is from RNAcentral. Lineage: Bacteria; Pseudomonadati; Spirochaetota.